This 451-nucleotide ribosomal RNA is filed under the name uncultured organism. RNAcentral's name for it is "partial 16S ribosomal RNA". It matches the Rfam family "Bacterial small subunit ribosomal RNA", at positions 332 to 799 of the family's 1533-position model. The record is from RNAcentral.
UACACUCCUGCGGGAGGCAGCAGUGGGGAAUAUUGGACAAUGGGCGCAAGCCUGAUCCAGCCAUGCCGCGUGAGUGAUGAAGGCCCUAGGGUUGUAAAGCUCUUUCACCGGAGAAGAUAAUGACGGUAUCCGGAGAAGAAGCCCCGGCUAACUUCGUGCCAGCAGCCGCGGUAAUACGAAGGGGGCUAGCGUUGUUCGGAAUUACUGGGCGUAAAGCGCACGUAGGCGGAUCGAUCAGUCAGGGGUGAAAUCCCAGGGCUCAACCCUGGAACUGCCUUUGAUACUGUCGAUCUGGAGUAUGGAAGAGGUGAGUGGAAUUCCGAGUGUAGAGGUGAAAUUCGUAGAUAUUCGGAGGAACACCAGUGGCGAAGGCGGCUCACUGGUCCAUUACUGACGCUGAGGUGCGAAAGCGUGGGGAGCAAACAGGAUUAGAAACCCGUGUAGUCCCAUG